CCAGCUCUGAUUGUAAUUUAUCAUACUCUAAUCGCAAUUCAUCUAACAUCCGGACCCUCUCCGGUCUCUUAACUACAAAACUCACAAUGGGCUUCAAAAGAGAUUUGGUAUCAGGAUCAUCCCAUUUCACUGAUUCCCACCACUUCUUUUGAUCUGCAUAAAUACGAAGUUUAGGAGGUGAAGAUGGUAGGACUUGGGGAAGUUUAAGAGGCAUCCUUUUUAAUUCCGGACAGAGUGUAACCUUAAACCAUUCAAGAGAUUCACAAACCACUACUGC
RNAcentral lists this long non-coding RNA (277 nucleotides) under Gossypium barbadense (sea-island cotton). Its description in RNAcentral is "long non-coding RNA (GBAR_LNC010904)". The record is from RNAcentral. Lineage: Eukaryota; Viridiplantae; Streptophyta; Magnoliopsida; Malvales; Malvaceae.